This 497-nucleotide ribosomal RNA is filed under the name uncultured bacterium. RNAcentral's name for it is "partial 16S ribosomal RNA". It matches the Rfam family "Bacterial small subunit ribosomal RNA", at positions 28 to 507 of the family's 1533-position model. The record is from RNAcentral.
GAGGAACGCUGGCGGCGUGCCUAAUACAUGCAAGUCGAGCGAACAGACGAGGAGCUUGCUCCUCUGACGUUAGCGGCGGACGGGUGAGUAACACGUGGAUAACCUACCUAUAAGACUGGGAUAACUUCGGGAAACCGGAGCUAAUACCGGAUAAUAUAUUGAACCGCAUGGUUCAAUAGUGAAAGACGGUUUUGCUGUCACUUAUAGAUGGAUCCGCGCCGCAUUAGCUAGUUGGUAAGGUAACGGCUUACCAAGGCAACGAUGCGUAGCCGACCUGAGAGGGUGAUCGGCCACACUGGAACUGAGACACGGUCCAGACUCCUACGGGAGGCAGCAGUAGGGAAUCUUCCGCAAUGGGCGAAAGCCUGACGGAGCAACGCCGCGUGAGUGAUGAAGGUCUUCGGAUCGUAAAACUCUGUUAUUAGGGAAGAACAAAUGUGUAAGUAACUAUGCACGUCUUGACGGUACCUAAUCAGAAAGCCACGGCUAACUACGUG